This is a long non-coding RNA of Alligator mississippiensis (American alligator), 2285 nucleotides long. RefSeq lists it as uncharacterized. The transcript is spliced from 3 exons. Lineage: Eukaryota; Metazoa; Chordata; Crocodylia; Alligatoridae. The record is from RefSeq and is a predicted model, not a curated record.
GCGGCGGCGCGCGGUGCCGGUGGGGCCGGCCAGGGCCGGCCAGGGCCACGCCUCUGCCGGAGCCCAGGAGCGGAGCGCGGGUGGGCGGGCGCCGCGCCCUGACGCGGGUGAGCUCUCGGCGCGCAGCAGGACCGCCUCCUGGCGCCACCCGCGCCCCGGGCCAGGAGGCCGCGACCGGCGGGUGUGUUGUAAAGCGGGCUUGCGCUGAACUGCUCUCCCGGAGCGACCAGUCAGUGUCCUGAGCCCGAGCGGUCUGCCUCCGACGCACCCGUCCUCUCUCCAGAUCGUGCAGUAGUGAUUACUCGAAGUCGCUGCUGUUCCCCAACAGCUCGGCCCCACGCCACGCUGAUCCCUAGGACAGACCUCUUCAUCGUAACAUGGGACAUGCCAGCCCCGGCCUGCGGUGGGCCGGGUGGCGCUGGCCCUCGAUGGUCCGAUCUAGCAGAAGGAGGUGGGAUGACUGGUCUCCCCCGUAAACCAGAAGUCAUUGCGACCAUCCCAUCCACCGCAGCAAGUCAGACCUUCCCCCAGUUUGAGUCGGCGUCCCGCUACCCCUUGGCAGCACGCAGCUCUGCGUUCUCCAGCACACCAUCAAAUGCCACCGCACCAGCUGUGAAGGUGUCAGAAAGGCGACGCCGAGCAAAGGUUUGGGGCCACAUUUGGGGAUUCAAGGAACAGGGUGCAAACACAACCGAAGUAGAAACAAGCUCUCUCCAGAAGUGUGGCAGAAACCUACCGAGCAGAGUCAGCCCAGCCCUGUUGUUGGUGCCAUCCUCGGAUGGGCACUUUAGGUAGCUCUCCAUAUUUAGGCUGCUCCCUUGUCAUAAGGGCAUGCUUCUUAAAAAGAAUACAGCUGUUCAAAGAGCAAAUGCACCUUCCUUAGUGCUGUCAAUUCAGUCACUUGCUCCCUAAUUUGAGGCCUCUCAAAGCAUAGAAAAAGAAAUAGUAAUCCUUGAAGAAGACUCAAAAGAGAUUCACUGAACUGCAGCACUUUCUUAAUAGUCAACAUCAAGUUACAUACAGCCUGUGCAGUGAGAGAAGUUUCGACUUCUGGGGCUGUGGACAAAUGUAACGCUGAACUGUUUCAAAAGGGUGGGUGCUUGGAGCGUACAUCAGCCAAUUCGAUGCAACUGUUUCACCCAUCCGUUCCUAGUCCCCGCAUGCCACUGUUGCACUCACUGAUGUUGUCUAAUGAUCCUUCGAUCACCACUUGAUGCUGUGGAUGCUCCUCUCCACUCGGGGGAGAACUUCUGGUCCCGGACCCAGUAAAGCCCAGAAGUGCUUCGCCUCCUGGUCUGCCAGAGUUCUCCGUUCACUGCCCCUUCCCAGGGCCUGAAAUCACCAACUGUGGUCUCUCUCCUCCAAUCCAGAGGGAGCACCAGCUUUGAAAAUGAUGUGGCACCAUCCUGGCCAGAGUCCUAACCUCUGCAUCUCUUGGGGUGUGCCAAAAGAGGGACAACUCAAUGACUGUUGUAGCCCACGUGGAAAUCUAAGGUAUGACACUUAGUAAACUAGAAGCAAGUGUGAGACUGCUGUUCCAGAGGGGUAUGUUGGGAGUCCCUGGUUAGAGGGGGUAUUCUAGAGUUGAGGGCUCCUCCCUGCCCCUGGUGCUAAAGGUAACUGCUGCUUCUGCACAUGAAGAACAAGUAGUGGCAGCUUUAACAGCAGGUUUGCAAAACCCAGCAUUGGUAAUGUGAAUGAAGACCAGCCCAGAACCCUUCAGAAAUUUCCCUGAGCUGCCCAAUUUGAGAGGGUUUGAAUACAAAAUGGCUUUCCCUGAAAGUGCGGCCACACAACAGCUCCUAGUUGUCCGUCACAGGUGCUUUGAACUGUUCAGCUGCAGGUGGCCCUGCUAGCCAUCUCCUGCAAGAGCCACACCAAUUACUCAUACCUACUUUGCUUUCAGGGUGUUGCUUCUGUCAGACCUAAUGCCCUAGAAAUGGGUGGGUUGGACUGUGCUCAUUGGGAUGGAGGCUUCUGGCUAACUUCUACUCAGCCAAUUUCCUACUUCGACUUUACACAGGGUGCAGCAUCUGAGCAUUCACCCGACAGCAGGAUGGGUUGAGGCCCAGCUGGUUCCUCCUAAGCGACUGCAAAGACUUCUAUUUCACACAACGUAUUUUCUGUUCUGACUGCAUGUUGGAAGCUGUAUGAAAAACCUGUUCACUUAUCUGUGUUGGCUGGUACUUUGUUUGAUGAGGGUGAGGGACUGGUUGAAGCUGUAUACACCUUGUAGAUUGCUGAAUGUAAAAAUAAGUAAAUAAAUAAAAAUGUAGCGAGUUAAA